UUCACUUUUCUUCUACACACUCUCUCUCCCCUCCGCUACUUUCUUCUUUGCGCAGCAGCCUCCUCUUUCUCUCAGUCUUCAAUUCUCUCAAACUCUCUGUCUCUCAUUCCCAGCGCGACCCUUCUCACUCUCAAUCACAGCAAAAGGUUAGUCUCACUCACACUUUGUAGUUUAAUUUUCUGUUCGAUUCCUUUUCUUUUGAUCUGAUCCCCUAUAAUUUUUUUCCCUUCUUGUUUAGAUUUAUUUUUGAAUUUGAUUUAUUUUGUAAUUGAUUUUAUUCUGUCUGUUUUGGAUAUUUUGAUUUUGCUUCUUGUGAAUUGUUUGCGAUUUUAUUCGAUUUGUGUUUUGGGAUUUUAGGAUUAGGGUUAUAUUUUUAACGUGUUUGACUGGAUGUGAUUAUUCGGUUUCGGUUUGAAGUAUGUUUGGUUGCUGAGGAAUUAUGGGAAAUGAAGGGGUUCAGAGGUUGACUAUUUUAGGGCUCUAUUUUUGUUGGGUUUUCAUCCUCUGGGUUAUUAAGGUUUGGUGAUUUUUUUUUUUUGUCUAAUUGGAUUAUGUAACAGAGAUAUAUCGCGGCUUACAUAGUUUUAGAGGUUUGGUUUGAAUGUUUGCUUUUUGUGGUUGUUUGGACCUUUUGACUUUAAUUAUCUAGAAGUAUAUACAUGUAGGGUUGAGUGGAGCUCCUUGGAGCCCCUUUAGGCUUUAGUUGUAGAAAGAAAAAAAGGGAUUGCAUUUGCAAGCUGUUGAUGCACAAAACUAGAUGUCUUGGAACAACGUAAAUCCGACCGUGAAUCUGCAAGUAAUGUAAAUAACACAAGAUGUAUCGUGGUUCACCCCAAGGUUUGGGCUACGUCCACACUGAUUGUAUUGUAUUUCUCGGUUGAAGAGGGAGAGAGAGAGCUUAGAGCUUAGGGGGUGUGAGGAAGCUUAGGGUUUGUGAGGGUGAGGAGGCCCUUUUAUAGAAUAAGGGCUCCUCCCCUAAUUACAUAUUUGCCCCUUCCUUUAUUACAUAAUUACAUUUAAGUCCCUCGAGUAUUUAUACGAGGUCUAAAUAUGAGGCCCUAAAUAUGGUAUAAACAGUAGUCCCCCAAGUCUUCAGUCAAGAGAGUCUUUUGGCUGGAGACUUGAAAUUCAGUCCAUGUGUGGGCUGAAGUAACUAGAUGUUGUCUUGAACCGAUGUUCGAUAUGAGGCAGUGCUCAAUCUGAAAUGAUGCUCAACUAGAAGUAGCACACGCUGCUCGGCUGCUCGGCUCGUGGCUUAUGUUGCCUUGGCUAGCUCAGCUUGCGGCGUUUGAAGGUGAAUGAGUCCCUUUUAUAGAAUAAGGGCUCACUCCUCAAUACAUGGAUGAUGGGCUAGAGUUGAUGCUUUCUAAUGGUGGUGAGGGGAGUCCCUUUUAUAGAAUAAGGGCUCGUUCCUCAGUACAUGAAUAAUGGGUUAUGAGUGAUGCUCGUUGCGAGGCGGUUGCUCAGCUGGCGGCGGUGCUCUCUAACGAAGGUGAGGGAGUCCCUUUUAUAAAAUAAGGGUUCGCUCCUCAAUACAUAAGUGAUGGGCUAAGUCCCCCAAGUAUUUUUCACGAGUGCUCUCUAAUGAAAGUGAGGGAGUCCCUUUUAUAAAAUAAGGGUUCGCUCCUCAAUACAUAAGUGAUGGGCUAAGUCCCCCAAGUAUUUUUCAUGAGUGCUCUCUAAUGAAAGUGAGGGAGUCCCUUUUAUAAAAUAAGGGAUCGCUCCUCAGUAUAUAGCUAAUGGGCUAAGUCCCUCGAGUAUUUUUCAUGAGUGCUCUCUAAUGAAAGUGAGGGAGUCCCUUUUAUAAAAUAAGGGAUCGCUCCUCAGUACAUAGAUAAUGGGCUAAGUCCCCAAAGUAUUUUCAUGAGGCCUAGUUGAGGCCCAAUAUAUGGUACAUAAUGUUGUUCCCCAAGUCUUCGGUCAAUAGAGUCUGUUGGCUGGAGACUUUAAAUUGAAUCCAUGUAUGGGCUGAAGUGGCGGUUGUUCGGAGGCGGUAUUUGUACACCCUGCACUGAAGCUUUUUAGGGGAAGCUUUGAAAGUGAGGCUUUGAAGCUAGAGCUCUGUGAAUGAAGCUUUUGAAGCUAGAGCUUUUGUAAAUGAAUCGUUUAAAGCUAAUGGACAUGAGUGAUGCUCAUGAAUGUUUAUGUUGAUUGACAUGAGUGAUGCUCAUGGAUGUUGACAUGAGUGAUGCUCAUGAAUGUUUAUGUAUGAUUGGAUGAGUAAUGCUCAUGAAUGUUUAUGUAUGAUUGACAUGAGUAAUGCUCAUGUAUGAUUUGAAGUACUAGGCAUACUUUUGAUCACCUGGUUGGUGGCAUGAAGGAGAGUACGGGUUGUACAUUUCAUCACCUGGUUGGUGGCAUAAAUGGCUAGUUGCCAAAUGAUAUUAGAGUACGAGUUGUACAUUUCAUCACCUAGUUGGUGGCAUAAAUGGCUAGUUGCCAAAUGAUAUUAGAGUACGGGUUGUACAUUUCAUCACCUAGUUGGUGGCAUAAAUGGCUAGUUGCCAAAUGAUAUUAGAGUACGGGUUGUACAUUUCAUCACCUGGUUGGUGGCAUAAAUGGCUAGUUGCCAAAUGAUAUUAUAGUACAAGUUGUACAGUUCAUCACCUGGUUGGUGGCAUAAAUGGCUAGUUGCCAAAUGAUAUUAGAGUACGGGUUGUACAUUUCAUCACCUGGUUGGUGGCAUAAAUGGCUAGUUGCCAAAUGAUAUUAUAGUACGGGUUAUACAUUUCAUUACCUGGUUGGUGGUAAUAGCGGCAGGUUGCCGAAUAAUUUUUGGAGUACUGGGCGUACUUUUGAUCACCUAGUUGGUGGUAAUAACGGCAGGUUGCCGAAUAGUUGUGGAGUACUGGGCGUACUUUUGAUGACCUGGUUGGUGCUAUUUCGGGCUUAUGGGCUUUUGCCCUCCAUAACAUGCCAGCCCAUUUAUUUUGGGCUUUGCCUUUUUUUUUUUUUUUUUUUAAUACUAUUACCCUCUGAUGGGGUUUAUACAUAUUAAUUACCAUCUGAUAGGAUUUAUACAUAUUACCCUCUGAUGGGGUUUAUACAGAUGUCUUCAAAAGAUAAUAAAUUACAUCACUCUGGUAGGGUGUUUAUUUCUUGCUGUUGCUUCCUCUUUCUCUUUUCCUUUUGCUUUCCAUUGCGUCUCUGUCUCUUGGCGAAACUAGAGGGCUACCUCUCCUUGCUUUUCUUGGACAGCAAGGUCGUGCCCAUCACUCUUCUUUUUUCUUUUUCUCCACUCCAUUUCUUUGCCCAUCCAUGUUCCCCAUCCCUGUCUGAUGGGAUCCUUUAGGCGCAAUUUUUGAUAAUCUUCAAAUCCCUAAAGUAAAAUCAUCAUUGCAGGUAAUCAUUUUGUUUGCCAAACCACUUGCUUUUCUUGGACAGGUUGUGCACAUCCAUUCCCACUCCUCGUGCCCAUCAACAAAGAAAAACUGAGUAAAGGGAACUUUUCCAGGUCUUUGGUACUACCACCUUUUGACUUGAGACUUUUUCUCUUCCUAACUUGGUAGACAUAGAGAAUCACCAAUCAUAGUGCAGCUAUUCCGGCCAACGCAUCGUCAGAGACGUUGAGAAAUUGGAGGCCCUCGAGGCUGGAGACCAACUGAUCUGGCAGGUCGCCGGAGAUCACCUUGCUGGAGAGACAGAGGACCUGAAGUUCUACGUAUUGAAGGUCGCCAACCCAGAUGGUCUGAUCUCAUCGUUGGGCCCCUGUUUUGUGACGGCAGCUGCUGCUGCUGCAGCUGCUUCGACGGUUGUUGAUACACCACAGCCUGAGGCUUCUGCUGGUACUGAUUGUGGUGAGGAUGGUGAGGAGCCGCCCCGUAAGGCAUGUAACGUUGCGGUGGAGAGAGGGCGGCCGGAGCCGUCAUUGUCGACAAGCAUGGUGGCAAGGAUGACUUCGAUGCUAGUACUGGUGAUGAGGUCGAAGAAAUCGACGAUUUGAGCGUGGACGUCGCCAGUUUUGGGUCGGAUCUGAUCUUCGAGGUGGAUCAAGGUGGCUCUGGUUUAUGGAUAUAUUUCUCUGACACCUGUUCCCCUUGGAUGAGCACUUCCUGGACAGUUUUGGAUCCUAAUAACUCCAUCUUCGCAAGCUUUUGUAAUUUUGAGUUGCAAAUUAAAGAUCUGCAAACUGGGCGAGUGUGAUGACCCAGUCAUCCUUGUGGGCACCCCUGUAAAUGCUAGUGCCACCACAUGGUGGUGAUGCAGAAGAAGAUGGUGAUCCCUGAAUGAGCGAGCAAGUGCGGAGCAGAGUAUUGUGAUCGAAUGGUGCCUAGAAGCCGUUGUUGGGCUUCAGCAUCAGGUGAGUAUGGUUGGUUAACAAUCGCGAAGAGGUAACGCAAAGCCAUAUAAAGUAGCUACUGUGCAGAUUUGGAGGUUUACCGAUGUUGAAGGACAAUACUUUGAAGAGGAAGACUGGUGAAGUUUGAAGGACAGUGCUUUAAAGCAGUGCACGCACAUACGCACAGGGUGUGCGUUUUGGUGUUAAUGGGUCUUGGUUUUGGGCCAAUUGAGACUUGGACACUUUUGAGACAGAGCAGAGAAGAAAGAAGAGGGGGGUCGGUGUCUCUUGGGUUUUGCAGAUCCACGGUGGACAGUGGUGAGGUUUCACGGUGGUGAAAUGAAAAAUGAAAGAAAACCGACAUAGUUUUUUGUGUCGAUUCCCACAGACGGCGCCAAAUAUUGAUGCACAAAACUAGAUGUCUUGGAACAACGUAAAUCCGACCGUGAAUCUGCAAGUAAUGUAAAUAACACAAGAUGUAUCGUGGUUCACCCCAAGGUUUGGGCUACGUUCACACUGAUUGUAUUGUAUUUCUCUGUUGAAGAGGGAGAGAGAGAGCUUAGAGCUUAGGGGGUGUGAGGAAGCUUAGGGUUUGUGAGGGUGAGGAGGCCCUUUUAUAGAAUAAGGGCUCCUCCCCUAAUUACAUAUUUGCCCCUUCCUUUAUUACAUAAUUACAUUUAAGUCCCUCGAGUAUUUAUACGAGGUCUAAAUAUGAGGCCCUAAAUAUGGUAUAAACACAAGCCGCAUCUAUGAUGGGUUUUAGUGUGAUGGUUAUGUAUGUAUAAUGGGAUUGCAAGCCGCGUAAUAGUCAUGCAAAAGGAGAAGGAUAGGUCUCAGGAAGUUAUGGAACUAAGUACUAUUUAUCAAGGGGACUAAUCAUAUACUUUGUUUAUACUUAUACUUUGUUGUUUAUGUAUAAUGGGUUAUGCUGCAUUUGUUUUGUAUAGUUCAAUGCACCAUGAACCUGUUUCCUUUCUUCGAUAUCAGUUUAAUUCUUGCCUUGGUUGUUGUGGAGUAGUUGUAGGAUUAGGUUAUUAUAAAUAGGUGCGUUGUAAUUCAAUGUUGGGAGACUUGAUUUUGUCUUGCUGUAAACUGUAAAGGAUGAUUGGCCUUCCAGAUUUUGUCUUGAUUUUGUAUCAUUGGCCUUCCAGAUUUUAAUUAACAUUUACUUUUGCAUAAGUUUGUAGUACUAACUACUAUCUGCUUAUUAUUUUGUGUGAAUUAAAUGAAGUCAAAGGCGUCAAAGAUCUUAAGGGCCUCAAGCUCAAGUUCAAAGAUCAAAAUCAAAUAGCUUAUUUUAUCGAUUAUGCUGAAAUGGGACUUUGAUUUUAUUUAGGGUAACGAAAAGCACCUGGUACUGUUCACUUUAACGAAAAACCACAUUUUUACACUAAAAAGUCAAUCCUGGUACUAUUCACUUUACCCUUUAUUUUGUCCUUAUCAUUAAAACUCAAAGUUUUCAAGCCCUUUUCAUUAGUUUUCCUUUUUAUUUAUACUCCUUUGGAAGAUGUAUUACAAAAUGGUUGCAAGUUGUUUUCUUAGAAUUUUUUUUUUGCUAUUGGGAAGCACAAAAAAAAAAGAAAAAAAUACCGAACCGGGCCGAAACCGAACCGAAUACAAACCGAACGGAAAGCAAACCGAUAGAAAACCGAACCGAACCGAACCGAACAGUAAUUUCCGUUUGGUUUCCGAUUUUGGCAAAAAACCAAACCGAACGGAACCGAACCCACCCCUAAUGGCAUGUGUGUGUGGAAGAGAGAAAGAGAGAGAGAGACGUGAGAUAGAGGGAGAUAAAGAAAAUAUAUUUUUAAAAAAAAGAAGAAAAAGAAAUGAUGUGUGAUGGCACAAAAGUGUGGGUUUCAAAACCCAUAAAAAUACUUGCAUGGCCAUCCCUCAUCAUUAAGCCUCUUUUAAGGCUGAUUUUUUUUUCCCAGGCUAGACCAAGCAAUGAUGCACACUGCAUGAGGUCAGUUUUUAGAAUAUGAAUUUAUCUCAGGUAAAUUUAAACUGUUUCGAACAUAACUUCUUCUUUUUAACUUUGAAUUGAGUUUCGUUUGCGGCCACAUGUUUGUAAAAAUGAGUACUAUUUGAAAAUAGUAAAAUAAGACUGGAAAAGUGAAAGGAAAAUUGAGAUCCAUGUGGAAGGCCUACUUGGCAUCUUAGGAUAUUUGGGUAAUUUCACUACUACUGAUCUUGGGGCUAGAUGUCACAGUCUACCCCUCUUAAGAGUAUUUCAUCCUCGAAAUUAGAAGCAACAUAAUUUAAUCAUGGAAGAAAUAUGGAUACAAGUCUCUCACAUGUUUCUCUGUUCCCUAUGUAGCCUCUUUAGCAUAGUGGUUUCUUCGAAUUAUGUAUCACUUGCAUCUACGCAAUUGUAGUGACAAGCACUACGAGUGUGUGUCUCUUUGGGUUGAGCCAAAACAAUAAUUAAUUAGGCACGAGACCUAAUUUAUAAAAUACUACCGGAAAUGGGCCUACUUGCCCACUUGCUUAACAAACCCAAUGAAUAGGUUAUCGAUAUUACAGUUUGCAGCAUGCAAUACCAACAACCUAUUGUUGUCUCAAUAAAUAAGUAAUGGAAUCCCGAAGGUACAAAAUUAUUAUUUUGCCCUUCAUUGGGAAAGUGCAUAAAUCGUCCGAUUUUAUGCAUCGUUCACAUUGACGUGUUCGUAAGAACACGUACUACCUAGAAAGAUUUGAAAAGGAACAGGAAAUGAUAAUAACUCAGAUUUCCAUGCAUGAAAUCCACGUAGGAUUUCCACUUAGUCGACUAUAGGCAUUUCAAAAAAUUUAGGCAUUAAGGAAUAAAAUAAGAAUAAAUGUGGGACGGGAUUCUGCCAAGUGGUCUAGAGGGUGUCCUUGGGGACCAACAAAAGAUGGGCACCCUAGUAAGUCAUUCAACAAUCACCGAAAUAUCAUCAUAGUCUCCACGUGUACGAGGCUGUUUGUACAUGAAGUCCACGGUGAUAUUCUACCAUAUCCAUCCAGAUAUAAGGAAUGACUGUAACAACUCAAACAAUUUCUUUCUUCUUGCUUUGACUAGCUGACAAAUCAAGUUCUUGCUUAAUGCCUAAGCAAUCUCCUUUUUCAUUCUAGGUCAAAAGUAGAAGGGUUGGACUUGGAAAUUAGCUAACAAAGUUUCCUGAUGGUCUGUAAGUAACGUCACAUUAAUACUCGUGAGUUGUAACUGAAACAGGAUUUGACGAUCGAGUCAUCCAUGUGCUUUUCUGCUCAGAUCGUCAGCAACUACGUUUGCACAAUCGGGCUAGUACACGAUGGUGCGAUCAUAGACGUUGAUGAUUUAUUUUUUCCAUCGCCACUAUCUGCAAUUAAGCUUAUUCCAAGUGAAGAUGUAUUUCAAAGGUUGAAGGGAGUCGAUGAUGAUUUUGGCAUGUUUCUCCAUAGAGAAACCGCCAUCAAGUUUUUAGUGUAAAGGUAGCAAUUGUCAACUCUAAGUCAUACGUAAGAUAGUUCACUUCAUGUGGCCCUAGUUGUCAAAAGGCAUAAGCGAUUACCAACUUCUUUCUUGGUCAACUUUGUAAGGAAGAAGGCUAAGGUGGAGAAAGUUAGCACAUAUCGUCAAUGGUAAUUGACAAGACCAAUGAUACCUAGUAUAUCGCAAAACCUUGUAGGGGUUUCCAGUUUUCUACAAUUGCAACAUUUUUGGGGAUUGACAAGAAUGUCGUUUGCUGAGUGAUUACAAAAACCAAAAAAAGGCACAUGAUUUAAACAAAACUGACAUUUAGGAAAUUUAGUGUAAUGCUGAUUCGCUUUGAAAUUGUUUAGAUCAAAUCAUUAGGGUUUUGAAAGUUUGACUUCAUUAUUGAGAGUAAACAAGGAAGUUCUCGAUAAGGUUUUCAUGAAUCUUUCAGGAUAUGGGCAGAAUACGUGGUCCUUCAGGUUCAUGAACAAUAUUGGAGCAUUCGCCAACCCGCAUGACAUCACACGGAACUCAUAAUGAAUGAUAAGCUCAUAUUUAUAUAUAUUUUACAUCAAAUUCACUUGUCUUUUCUUAGUUAGUUACUUAUAUUUUUGAGCUAUUUACUUUGUUUUUGUGUUUUGUGUGAUUUGUCAACCAAAGAAAAGAAAAGUAGCACAAGUGGGAUAUUAAGUAAUAAAUUGUCAAAACUGUCUGUGCAGAUUAGCUGACUUUGGAAGUAUGUUGCGAUCAGCUCAGAAUAAAUGAGAGAAUGAGCCUUAUAUUCUUGGAAAGCUACGGAUGUCUAUUUUCUGGAGAAAUUCACAGAUUAUUAAUAUCAUUUUUCUAGAAGAAGUUAUGGGCAUUGUAACACUGAAAGGUUUAGAGAAGGGCUAAGCAGAUUUGGCUUAUAAAAUGAGAAAGUAAAGGCACAUGUUUUGUGUUUUGCUUUGUCAUCAACACUCAGCAGCAAAUGGGGUUAUGAUUGCACUCAUUUGCCUUUGGAGCAAGUGGAAAUGCACAGCUAGAAAAGAGGAUUAAAUGGAAAUAGUUGGCAGCCAACGAUGCAACAGAAAACAAAGGAAAAAAUGGAACUUUUCCUUUGUCAGCAAAUUCCAACAUCAAUCAUGAACACAAAUGGGUGGAGAAUAUGGAAUUAGCUAGUCCUCCACUUGGUUUAUGUGGCUUUGGCAAAGAAAAAGAAUCAAAUAAAACAGCAACAUAAAACAUACGGCAGAGGAGAGAAAAAGAAGAAGAAACACACAGCAAAAGAAAUAAAAAACAUACAGAAGAGAGCAAGAGGCACGACAGAGAGCAAGGAAGGAAAGAAGAAGAGGCUUCACUCUAUUUUUCUUGGUUUUAUCUUCUCAAACCCAUGUUUUACUUUUGGUUUAAUUUGAGAAUUAUGUGUAACUAAAUUUUAAGUAGUUAGGGGCUGUUUUGAAGCCCCGAAUAUGAUUGCAAGUCUGUUACGACAUUUCGUUGAAUUGCUUUUAUGAAUGGAUGAAAAUUGGUUUACUACUUAUGUCAGUGAUGAAUUCUUUAUAUGUUUUCUAUGGAUGCAUACUUAGUAAGCAUAUCUAGGAUUCAAAUGCUAUGAAUAUAUGUAUGCCUGCCCUUGUUGAAUGAGGACCUACAUAUGUUCUAGAGUAGUACUUGUUAAUUGCUAUUAACAUGUGAACCAAUUUCUAGGAUAAGUAAGACAACGCCAGUACUUACCAUGCCUUGUGAUGACUCAAACUCUUUUCGUUCUUAAUGAUUUCUACUUGUUAAAUCUAUGAACACACCAUUCUAGAUUGCAUGCUAGGGACUACAUUAAGUUGAAAAUGCCAUUCUCUUAACAUACUACGUAAGAAAGAGUAAUAGGUUGUGUUCUAACAUUGAGCCAACUUGAGCAUCUUCAUCCGGAAAUAAAAGAAAUUUGAAUGAAACAUAACAGGUUUGCAUGAUUAUUUGGUGGUGGAUAACAAUUCCCCUAACUCGUUUUUCUUAAACUUGUGAUCUACUCAAAAUCUGUUUCUGUACUGUUUUUGUACGAUUUAAUUUAAAUAGCAAAUCAACUCCAAAAAUCCCAAACAUUUGUGAGAGUGUCAUGCUGUGUGUCUAGUGUUUGCGUA
This 9814-nucleotide long non-coding RNA is filed under the name Malus domestica (apple). RNAcentral describes it as "long non-coding RNA (MDOM_LNC003618)". The record is from RNAcentral. Lineage: Eukaryota; Viridiplantae; Streptophyta; Magnoliopsida; Rosales; Rosaceae.